Molecule: ribosomal RNA, 253 nt
Filed under: uncultured bacterium
Lineage: Bacteria
Description: partial 16S ribosomal RNA
Rfam family: Bacterial small subunit ribosomal RNA
Source: RNAcentral
UACGGGGGGGGCAAGCGUUGUUCGGAAUUACUGGGCGUAAAGGGUGCGUAGGCGGCCCGCUAAGUCAGAUGUGAAAUCCCCAGGCUUAACCUGGGAACUGCAUCUGAUACUGGCUGGCUUGAAUCCGGGAGAGGGAUGCGGAAUUCCAGGUGUAGCGGUGAAAUGCGUAGAUAUCUGGAGGAAUACCGGUGGCGAAGGCGGGUCUCUGGGCCGAUACUGACGCUGAGGAACGAAAGCGUGGGGAGCGAACAGG